Molecule: unclassified non-coding RNA, 766 nt
Filed under: Rhopalosiphum maidis (corn leaf aphid)
Lineage: Eukaryota; Metazoa; Arthropoda; Insecta; Hemiptera; Aphididae
Description: uPF0235 protein C15orf40 homolog, transcript variant X1
Source: RNAcentral
UUUUUUAGUAUUUACAGUUUUUGUAAAAUUAUUAAGACCAUAUAAAUGAAAUUUCUUAAUGCUACUUUAUUUUCUUCAAAAAUAAUAAAAAAUAUGCCUAAGCCUAAGAAAAAUACAAAACAGGUUCAAGAUAAAUUAGAAACUGUUCAGUCUGGACCAAUAACAGUCGACAAAUCAGGAGGCAUUGUUAUUAAAAUAAAUGCCAAACCUGGUGCUAAAAAUAAUAAUAUAACAGAUAUAUCUUCUGAUGGUAUUGGUGUUCAGAUAAAUGCACCUCCAACUGAUGGUGAAGCUAAUACAGAAUUAAUAAAAUAUCUAUCAAAAGUAUUAGGUUUGAGAAAAAGUGAUUUAAGUUUAGAUCGAGGUUCAAGAUCAAGAAAUAAAAUUUUAAUUGUGCAAACUUCAUUAGGCAUAGAAGGCAUCACUGAAAAAAUUAACCAAGAAAUUAAAGAAAGUCAUUAACAAAAUAUGAUAAACUUAAAAUGGAUGUUAAAAUAACUAUAAAAUAUUAUUGAAAAAGGACACUGUUGGUAUAUUGAUAUUAAUGGGUCAUUAACACAAUUAUGUGUAACAUCUGUAUUGAACGUGUAAUGGACAAAACCAAAUUGGAUGCAAAUGUUCCUACUAUGAAGAUACAUACUGUCUAUACAAUAUUUCAUUUCAGUCAUCUCACAAAAUUAUACUGUCAAUGAAUAGGUUACCAAAAAAAUUAAUUUUUCGUUAUUACAGAAAUUAUAAUUUAAUAUAAUAUGUAUGUGAUUUUUAA